Molecule: small nuclear RNA, 105 nt
Organism: Bison bison bison
Lineage: Eukaryota; Metazoa; Chordata; Mammalia; Artiodactyla; Bovidae
Source: Ensembl
GUGCUCACUUCAGCAGCACAUACACUAAAAUUGAAAUGAUACAGAGAAGAUUAAUUGCCCCUACACAAGGAUGUCAUCCAAAUUCAUGAAUCACUCCAUAUUUUU